Triticum dicoccoides is the source of this 2043-nucleotide long non-coding RNA. RefSeq lists it as uncharacterized. The transcript has 4 exons. The record is from RefSeq and is a predicted model, not a curated record. Lineage: Eukaryota; Viridiplantae; Streptophyta; Magnoliopsida; Poales; Poaceae.
AGGUACAAGGGGCUCCUUGGUUGCUUGGCCUGCUUUUCGUAUAUCAAUGAGGAUAUCCCUGACAUAAAUUCGUUUUGUGACAGUCUUGGAGAGAAAUUUACUAUUGUCGAUGCAUACACUCAUCCGGGGUAGAAUCUGAUCUCGAGUAAACAUUGUGCUCCACCAGAAGAAGAGCAUCUGGAUGUCUUAAUCCUAACAUUCGGGAGUGCACUUCGUUUGAUGCCUUGAAAGAUCAGUAUAUUGGGAAUCAUGAGAUAGUCAUCCAGAGUUUGGUCAGAUUUGAACUGAUUUGGCUUACAAUUUGUAAUUUUGCAAUCAGCUUUCCUACAAGUCAUCUCAACUUCAACUUUAAAAGUUGUAUGUAUGUAGUUAAUACAAAGUACAGGCAUGCGGUCUAAAUCAAGAUCACAGUGAGAUGGCGUAGCUUGAUUUGCUGCUUCCUCUUCUGCUGUGUGUUUGCUCAGUGUGUUUGUUCCAAGGUGAGCCUCUUUCUUUUUCCCAUGCUUUUGACCUGCUCAUAGUGGAGUAUGGUCACGGCUGGUUCCUAGAUGUACCAUAGACAUGUCUGGACUAUGAACUCUUUUUUACCAGCUCUGAGAUUUUACAUAGUGAUGGCUCAUGAUUAAGAUUAUUACUGUGAAAAAGAACUUACCUCAUGUUAUCAUGUACUCCCUCCGACCAAAAAUAAGUGUCAUAAAGCUCAUAUAUCUCUUUAGGGGCAAAUGAUUAUGAUAGAGAUACCAAGAAACUAAAUGGAACUCAUAAAGCUCAUGACCAUCACGGGAGGCAAGGUUCACCUUUUUUCUUUUCUUCAUCUUACUCACAGCCCACAGUGUUAUGAAUUUUAUUUAUGUCUGCAACUUUUGGUAUCACAAAGCAAGGAUGAACCCGCUACAUCUUAGCGCACCUUUAACUACUUUAUUUGCUGUACUAUUGUGGAUGUACCGCAGAAUAAAGCAGUCCUCCAUUUUUCUUCUCUGCAGGCUGAUGUUCUUGCUCAAUAUAAGCCAACAAUUGACACAAAAUUGUUGAUUGCUAAACUAAAGAGGUUUAAUGAGUUGGCAGCUAAUGCUUUAGUGAGCUUUAAGAGUAUCCGGCGUAUUGUUCUAUAUUACGAGGAUGUGAUCAGCAAUCGCACGGUGAGCCCUAUUGGACAAUAUUAAUGUUUGGGAAAUAAUCACCAUUUAUUUCUCUCGAUAACAUUGGUUAAGCCCUCUUUCAGAAGCUCACAGAUGUGCUGCUAUCCAGUCUCUAUGUGAAAAUCCAUACUAAAUUAUUGUGUGAUCAUAUUGAUAAUUGGAUUGAUGUUUAUAAUGCUUUGAUUGGGACUCAAUAUCACAUCUUCUUGAAUGGUUGAAGAUGAGCAAAUUAGACAGGUCUAAAUAAUGACUCAAUAUCACAGCCAGUCAAUUCUCUUCAUGCUAGAUUUACAAUUUACUUGAUACAAAAAGGCAAUACAGUUUAGUAACGACCUGGAACUAGCAGGCUAUCCCAUUUGUUUAGGUUAUGAGCAGUACUGUUUCCUUCUUAAAUUUGGGCAAUCUUUUAAAUACCAUAUUACUACGCAAAGCUUUAAAAAGCAAUCCAGAAUAGAGGCCAGACCUUAAUCAUGUUGAUAUUUUCUAUUAUGGAUUCAUGAUAUUCCAAUUUUCAUGUCUUUUUUGUGUUGUAAGUGGCUGCUCUAGACAGAGUACUUAUGUCGUACUUAUAGCUUAUUCCUAUACAUUUAGUUCUUCUAACAUUCAAUAGUCAGUACCCAGCAAUCCUUGUGGACCCGGUACUGAUUACUUCUGGUGGUCAUGGAUAACUAAAAAUUGCCUUCUUUUCGCGUUGCAUCAAGAUGAAAUUAAGCUCUUGAGUUUCUUGGAGCAGCCCUACAUGUGAUUGUUGUGGGUUUUUGAAACUACAUAUGAUGUCACAUAGGCAUGCUACUAAAGUUUAGGCAUUGAUAUUGUUUGAGCGUCUUUUGGUCCUGGUGGAACCUUUAUUGAACUUAUUAACAUGUUUUAGUCUUAUACUCCCUCCGUUUUUAUUUAGUUCGCA